This 2644-nucleotide unclassified non-coding RNA is filed under the name Hevea brasiliensis (rubber tree). The record is from RNAcentral. Lineage: Eukaryota; Viridiplantae; Streptophyta; Magnoliopsida; Malpighiales; Euphorbiaceae.
CUACCAAACAGCAAAAAUUCGUUAUUUUAUUGAAAAAAUGUUUUCCAUAAUUUUCAACAUUCCUACCAAACAUUUAAUUACAACAUAAUGAAAAAUCUAUGAAGAAACCUGAAAAUCAAUUUAACAUCAAAAUUAAAUGCAGAAGACUGGAAGAUGAUACAUACACUCUCUGUAAAAUCAUGCACCAUAGAAGAAUGUCAGAACAUCUGUGUCAAAAUUCCCUAUACACUGGCUCUAACUGAAACAAAAUUAUAACCAGAAGUAACACAGCAUCGACCCAGAUCACCGUCCCACCCACUCCACAAUCCACGUGGAAAUUGUCCUUGGAACUAAUGACUAUGAAUAAAGAAACCUAACGAAUCAUCAACCCUUGCAUUGCCUGUGAUCCAUCUUCAGUUAUCUUGUUAGCUUGGAUGGCGUUUAUCACAUUCGCAAUAUUAUCCUGGAAAACAUGAGAACAUAAACGUAAUGACACUUGAAGAAAAGCUGGGAAAAUUAUUAGAACAAAAUCAACAAAUUAACAAGUGUCAGUUUCUUUCCCAAGAUUAGCAUAUAACUGAGUAGUUGGGCUGGAUACCAAUACAAAACUACUUUGAGAGCUAAAAUGCAGAGGGUGCAUGUCACUGAUAGAGAAGGUAAAACGAUAUAAUAUUUUUUACAGUCACGAAAUUUUACCCUCCAUGUAGCUAGUUUUAAUCUAAGUGCCAGCCACUGAUGCUGCCCAAAUACACGCUCGGCACAGCUACUGCACAUCACAAAUUGGAGAAAAAGAUUUGAAUAACCAAGGUAAAUCUCAAGCACAACAUUGCUAUCAUCAGAAGCAAAAGCAAGAGGCUACCUAACAAGUACAACUUGAGACAUCUGGUCCAUUUUACAGUUGAUUAACUUAGCAGUUAUUGCCUUCACUACCCAUAAUUCCACCUCAUCAUCGUUAAUCCGAAGAGUAUCCUUGAUAAGAGUAUAUGGAAUUCGACCAGAUCCAUCUGAGGCAAGAUCCACUAAUGACAUCAAUCUCAUCUUUGCUAUACAAUCCUCAUGAACAAGACCAUAGCUUUUCAGCAAAGCAGAAUUUGCAGCCUGAAACUCUAAGUAGGCAUCUAGCCUCUGAGUCAGAAAGAUCUUCAAAAGCUGAUAUACCAAAGCAUAUUUAGCGUCCUUUUCCAACUGCCCCACAGCAGGCAUAUCUAGCAGGUCACACUGCAAUAUGGCUACACAAAUCAAUCUCUAAGCACCCCAAUUUAUCCAAUAAGCUAUUCCAACAUAGACAAUAAAAAAAAUGCAAAAGAACUUGUGUUGAUGUAAACCAAAAAAGCAAAUUGAUAAAAGAAACAUUUAAAAGAUAAAAAUAAAAAAUUAACACAAGGAAAAAAAAGAUGGCCAUAAAACCAGUAUCCAGAGUACAACAACAACAACAAAUCCUAUAUGAAUCAUUUUUCACCAUUCAGCUUUGUUUGAACAAUAUCCAAAGUACACUAUGUAUAAAAAAUUAGUUGGGUUAUAGAUCAAUAGAAUUUCUGUUUAGACCAAACAUGCUUAACCACAUUCACAUGACCACAAAAAUUAAAACUGAGAUAAAGCUAAAUAGCCAAACAUAAUUAAGAAGGGAUUAACCUUUCACUUGCAAUGUGAGAACCCAAAAUACUUUUAGAUGAUUUGGCCUUUUUCUGCAAUGAUUAAUGCAUUUCUAUUUGCAUUUAACAAAUCAAAACAGCCUACAAGACCCAGUUGACAUGAACUUUAAGAAGAAAUAUAAGAACCUGUGACAUCUUCAAAAUUCAGUGAGACUUACCUGAAACAUGUCAGGUGCCUUGACAAAUUCGAUAAUUGUGCGCACAGCUUCCUCCUUGGCUUCACCCAUUGCAUAUGCAUCCUCCCCAGAAAAGGUUGCUAAAUACUUGGUCAGGAAUUUGAAAGAAUCCUUUCCUGAGCUCUUACUCUCUCUCAGUACAUUAGAAAUGCCAAGAAAAAGAUCCCUCUGAUCCUUCACCUCAAGAUUCCACUCUUUCAAGAAGCUAUCGAUCUUUUUGAAAGAAGGUAUGACAUGCUCUGUGACUUUUCCACUCGCUGCUAAAUUUAGAACCUUCAUGUAAACAUAGAACCGGCUGUAUGUGUUCUCCAGCAGAUUGUACAGAUUGAACAAGAUCUUCAAUCGCAAUGCAGGCUUGUCAGUUGGUUGCUGAAUGAUUUUUCCGCAUAAAAGUUUUGCCAUCUCAAGUUGUUCAUCAGGACUUUCAGACUUAGAGACAAGAUUGCAGAUAACAGUGAAGAUACACUCAAGAUCUUUCUCUGACACCUUAGAGUUGGAGAAUAUCAAGUCAGCUGAAGUAAGCAUUAAAGAGGCCAAGUCCAGCCAUCUGCCCAUCACGAUACAUUCUUGAGCUUCCAAACAAAGCCUAGAAACUUGUUGCUCUGCAACCUCAGGACCCGCGUCGGCCCAGGCAAGCUCAGAGGUGAAGCGGACGACGGCGAGGGCCGGAUCUUCUUCGGAGGUAGGAACGACGGUCGUCAUUGCAAGGCUAUCCGCAACGCUCUUGAAACUUACCUUUGGUGCAGAUAGAGAGAAAAUGAAAACCCUAGCUAGGGGAUCUUCAGUUCCACAAGUGUUGCAGUGUUUUUCGAGGCUUUAUGUGAUUUAUGGACGGUA